GACGAACGCUGGCGGCGUGCUUAACACAUGCAAGUCGAACGGAAAGGCCCUGCUUUUGUGGGGUGCUCGAGUGGCGAACGGUUGAGUAACACGUGAGUAACCUGCCCUUGACUUUGGGAUAACUUCAGGAAACUGGGGCUAAUACCGGAUAGGAGCUCCUGCUGCAUGUUUGGGGUUUGAAAGUUUCGGCGGUUGGGGAUGGACUCGCGGCUUAUCAGCUUGUUGGUGGGGUAGUGGCUUACCAAGGCUUUGACGGGUAGCCGGCCUGAGAGGGUGACCGGCCACAUUGGGACUGAGAUACGGCCCAGACUCCUACGGGAGGCAGCAGUGGGGAAUAUUGCACAAUGGGCGGAAGCCUGAUGCAGCAACGCCGCGUGCGGGAUGACGGCCUUCGGGUUGUAAACCGCUUUCGCCUGUGACGAAGCGUGAGUGACGGUAAUGGGUAAAGAAGCACCGGCUAACUACGUG
Molecule: ribosomal RNA, 468 nt
Filed under: uncultured bacterium
Lineage: Bacteria
Description: partial 16S ribosomal RNA
Rfam family: Bacterial small subunit ribosomal RNA
Source: RNAcentral